UACGUAGGGUGCAAGCGUUGUCCGGAAUUAUUGGGCGUAAAGAGCUCGUAGGCGGUUUGUCGCGUCGAAUGUGAAAACCCGGGGCUCAACCCCGGGCCUGCAUUCGAUACGGGCAGACUAGAGUUCGGUAGGGGAGUCUGGAAUUCCUGGUGUAGCGGUGAAAUGCGCAGAUAUCAGGAGGAACACCGGCGGCGAAGGCGGCACUCUGGGCCGGUACUGACGCUGAGGAGCGAAAGCGUGGGUAGCAAACAGG
Molecule: ribosomal RNA, 253 nt
Filed under: uncultured bacterium
Lineage: Bacteria
Description: partial 16S ribosomal RNA
Rfam family: Bacterial small subunit ribosomal RNA
Source: RNAcentral